AGCCUGAACGCUAGCGGCGUGGCUAAGACAUGCAAGUCGUACGGAACCCGCAAGGGUUCAGUGGCGAACGGGAGAGUAAUGAAUCGCUAAUGUGCCCCGGACUCUGGGAUAGCUUUCCGAAAGGAAAGGUAAUACCAGAUGAGACCACGAACAGGCAUCUGUUUGUGCUCAAAGGUCCGCCGGUCUGGGAGCAGGCGAUUUCGUAUCAGCUAGUUGGUAGGGUAACGGCCUACCAAGGCGACGACGCGUAGCCGGACUGAGAGGUUGGCCGGCCUCAUUGGGACUGAGACACUGCCCAGACUCCGUACGGGGGGCUGCAGUAACGAAUCUUCCGCAAUGACACGAAGUGUGACGGAGCGACGCCGCGUGUGGGACGAAGUUCUUCGGAAUGGUAAACCACGUGUACGAAGGGAAAGAAAGUUCUGAUCCUACCCCGAAGAGGAACGGGCGGCUAACGUCUGUGCCAGCAGCCGC
RNAcentral lists this ribosomal RNA (474 nucleotides) under uncultured soil bacterium. RNAcentral's name for it is "bacterial SSU rRNA". It matches the Rfam family "Bacterial small subunit ribosomal RNA", at positions 26 to 518 of the family's 1533-position model. The record is from RNAcentral.